This 468-nucleotide ribosomal RNA is filed under the name uncultured bacterium. RNAcentral's name for it is "partial 16S ribosomal RNA". It matches the Rfam family "Bacterial small subunit ribosomal RNA", at positions 28 to 507 of the family's 1533-position model. The record is from RNAcentral.
GACGAACGCUGGCGGCGUGCUUAACACAUGCAAGUCGAACGGAAAGGCCCUGCUCUUGUGGGGUGCUCGAGUGGCGAACGGGUGAGUAAAACGUGAGUAACCUGCCCUUGACUUUGGGAUAACUUUAGGAAACUGGGGCUAAUACCGGAUAGGAGCUCCUGCUGCAUGGUGGGGGUUGGAAAGUUUCGGCGGUUGGGGAUGGACUCGCGGCUUAUCAGCUUGUUGGUGGGGUAGUGGCUUACCAAGGCUUUGACGGGUAGCCGGCCUGAGAGGGUGACCGGCCACAUUGGGACUGAGGUACGGCCCAGACUCCAACGGGAGGCAGCAGUGGGGAGUAUGGCACAAUGGGCGGAAGCCUGAUACAGCAACGCCGCGUGCGGGAUGACGGCCUUCGGGUUGUAAACCGCUUUCGCCUGUGACGAAGCGUGAGUGACGGUAAUGGGUAAAGAAGCACCGGCUAACUACGUG